UAGAAAGCUUGUAAAAGCCAAAGUGGUAGU
This 30-nucleotide non-coding RNA is filed under the name Mus musculus (house mouse). Lineage: Eukaryota; Metazoa; Chordata; Mammalia; Rodentia; Muridae. The record is from RNAcentral.